RNAcentral lists this ribosomal RNA (490 nucleotides) under uncultured bacterium. RNAcentral describes it as "partial 16S ribosomal RNA". It matches the Rfam family "Bacterial small subunit ribosomal RNA", at positions 29 to 505 of the family's 1533-position model. The record is from RNAcentral.
AGUGAACGCUGGCGGUAGGCCUAACACAUGCAAGUCGAACGGCAGCACAGUAAGAGCUUGCUCUUACGGGUGGCGAGUGGCGGACGGGUGAGGAAUACAUCGGAAUCUACUUUUUCGUGGGGGAUAACGUAGGGAAACUUACGCUAAUACCGCAUACGACCUACGGGUGAAAGCAGGGGAUCUUCGGACCUUGCGCGAUUGAAUGAGCCGAUGUCGGAUUAGCUAGUUGGCGGGGUAAAGGCCCACCAAGGCGACGAUCCGUAGCUGGUCUGAGAGGAUGAUCAGCCACACUGGAACUGAGACACGGUCCAGACUCCUACGGGAGGCAGCAGUGGGGAAUAUUGGACAAUGGGCGCAAGCCUGAUACAGCCAUACCGCGUGGGUGAAGAAGGCCUUCGGGUUGUAAAGCCCUUUUGUUGGGAAAGAAAAGCAGCAGGUUAAUACCCCGCUGUUCUGACGGUACCCAAAGAAUAAGCACCGGCUAACUUCG